This is a long non-coding RNA of Mauremys reevesii (Reeves's turtle), 389 nucleotides long. RefSeq lists it as uncharacterized. The transcript has 3 exons. The record is from RefSeq and is a predicted model, not a curated record. Lineage: Eukaryota; Metazoa; Chordata; Testudines; Geoemydidae.
GGCAACAGGAAAAUCCUGUUCCUCUGUUAAGAUCCAUAACUGUCAGAGCAGAGUCAACUCUCAUGGUUCAGAAAUUCCUUCUCCUGAGCCCUACUUUCACUCCAUUCCUGGCAGUAUUAGCUGGCUGUUGACCCCACUAGCACCUUCAUAGAGAACUAAGUCAAAUAAACAUCACCAUAAUUCUACCUAGAGUCUUUUGGUUGGAUGGCAGCUGGUUUAAUCCCCAAUGGACCCAUCACAGCAAGGAGUAACAGAGUCUGACUGCUACCACCUUGACCUAAAUAAGAUGCCCCUUCUUUCCUAGAAAAUAAUCUUAAGAAGUUCCACAGAACAUAAGUAAGGAACAUAUGGACUAAAUCGAGAAUUGCUCUCCUCCAGUGGGUUCCAGG